GGAGGAACUUCUUUACUUUGAGGGUGGCAGAGCCCUGGAACAGGCAUCCCAGGGAGGUGGUGGAGUCUCCUUCUCUGGAGACAUUCAAAACCUACUUGGACAAGUUCCUGAGCAACCUGCUCUGGGUGGACCUGCUCUGGCAGGGGGUUGGACUAGAUGAUCUCCAGAGGUCCCUUCCAACCCCAUGUGAUUCUCUAACCUAGACCUGGCUAGCAGUCGCCCAACAGAGGGUUUAAAAAUCUGUUUUCAAGAAGUUUCAGUGGACGACUUCUCUGAUUUACAAUGUGUUUUGAUUGUUCAGACAGAACUUCUAACGGUUUUUAGGAUUAAUGCUGGAGGGAGAAGAAAAGGAGCCUGUGGCCAUACUCUCGGCGCAUUCAGCGUACGGCUUAUGAGCCUGAUCAUCUUGCUUCCUGCUGUGUGGGGGAAAACAUCCACUGACCAGCAAGGACAGCUUCGAUGGGAAUAACUGAGAACCUGAGCUCAGAACACCUUUGCCUGGGAGGCAGGAAAGACCAGUUUGAAUUCCUUCAGAAACAUCCACCUGGAGAUGGGGCCAUUGCUCAGCCAGUGGACUAUAGAGCAGCCUGGAUCCUAAAUCGAGCGUGCCUUCUGUCUGCUGGAAGCUGCUCUAGGUUCGUUCAGCAACAGGCGUGCUGGGAUUUGCUGGGACAGCUGCUGGAAUACAGCAAACAUAUGGAAAUGUGAAGGAAUACAUCAGCACCGUAAAAGAAACCAGCCCUUAGGUCCUGAACACAAGCUGGAGGAAGACACAGCAGUUGCAGUCGGUUAACACUGUGAGUUACUUCAGGGCCUGGACUUCCCGGUUGACUCUUUUUUUCCUUGAUUUGAACAAGUUCCUGUAACUUUCAGUCAUUUGCCUGCCAGCUGCAGCUUCUGAAAGGUGGAAACCCUUAGAGAUGGUUUCUUCUCAGCUCUACGGACCAGGACAGGGAUGAAAUGACAGUAUUCAGCGGGUAGCUACCCUCUACCUUCAGUGCUGAUAGUUUGCUUCCACCAGCAAAAUGCCAGGAGAAGGCCAUGCAGGAGGGAAACACUCCCUAAACCCUCUGCUGCAGG
Molecule: long non-coding RNA, 1080 nt
Filed under: Calidris pugnax (ruff)
Lineage: Eukaryota; Metazoa; Chordata; Aves; Charadriiformes; Scolopacidae
Description: lncRNA (ENSCPUG00000009037.1)
Source: RNAcentral